CGGUGGAUGCCUUGGCACUAGGAGCCGAAGAAGGACGGCACUAACACCGAUAUGCCUCGGGGAGCUGUAAGUGAGCUGUGAUCCGGGGAUUUCCGAAUGGGGAAACCCACUGUUCGUAAUGGAGCAGUAUCCAUGUGUGAAUACAUAGCACAUGAGAAGGCAGACUCAGGGAACUGAAACAUCUAAGUACCUGAAGGAAGAGAAAGCAAAUGCGAUUCCCCAAGUAGCGGCGAGCGAAACGGGAUCAGCCCAAACCAGAAGGCUUGCCUUCUGGGGUUGUAGGACACUCUAUACGGAGUUACAAAGGAACGGAUUAAGCGAAGCGACCUGGAACGGU
This 337-nucleotide ribosomal RNA is filed under the name Streptococcus pneumoniae. RNAcentral describes it as "partial 23S ribosomal RNA". It matches the Rfam family "Bacterial large subunit ribosomal RNA", at positions 22 to 351 of the family's 2925-position model. The record is from RNAcentral. Lineage: Bacteria; Bacillati; Bacillota; Bacilli; Lactobacillales; Streptococcaceae.